GAGCCUACGGGGGGCAGCAGUGGGGAAUAUUGCACAAUGGGGGAAACCCUGAUGCAGCGACGCCGCGUGAGUGAAGAAGUAUCUCGGUACGUAAAGCUCUAUCAGCAGGGAAGAAAAAAAGUCCUUUGGACUUUGGACGGUACCUGACCAAGAAGCCCCGGCUAACUACGUGCCAGCAGCCGCGGUAAUACGUAUGGGGCAAGCGUUAUCCGGAUUUACUGGGUGUAAAGGGAGCGCAGGCGGCCUGGCAAGCCUGAUGUGAAAUACCGGGGCCCAACCCCGGGGCUGCAUUGGGAACUGCCAGG
This 305-nucleotide ribosomal RNA is filed under the name uncultured bacterium. RNAcentral's name for it is "bacterial SSU rRNA". It matches the Rfam family "Bacterial small subunit ribosomal RNA", at positions 335 to 640 of the family's 1533-position model. The record is from RNAcentral.